AGUGAACGCUGGCGGUAGGCCUAACACAUGCAAGUCGAACGGCAGCACAGUAAGAGCUUGCUCUUACGGGUGGCGAGUGGCGGACGGGUGAGGAAUACAUCGGAAUCUACUUUUUCGUGGGGGAUAACGUAGGGAAACUUACGCUCAUACCGCAUACGACCUACGGGUGAAAGCAGGGGAUCUUCGGACCUUGCGCGAUUGAAUUAGCCGAUGUCGGAUUAGCUAGUUGGCGGGGUAAAGGCCCACCAAGGCGACGAUCCGUAGCUGGUCUGAGAGGAUGAUCAGCGACACUGGAACUGAGACACGGUCCAGACGACUAAGGGAGGCAGCAGUGGGGAAUAUUGGACAAUGGGCGCAAGCAUGAUCCAGCCAGACCGCGUGGGUGAAGAAGGCCUUCGGGUUGUAAAGACCUUUUGUUGGGAAAGAAAAGCAGCAGGUUAAUACCCCGCUGUUCUGACGGUACCCAAAGAAUAAGCACCGGCUAACUUCGUG
This 492-nucleotide ribosomal RNA is filed under the name uncultured bacterium. RNAcentral's name for it is "partial 16S ribosomal RNA". It matches the Rfam family "Bacterial small subunit ribosomal RNA", at positions 29 to 507 of the family's 1533-position model. The record is from RNAcentral.